This is a long non-coding RNA of Sinocyclocheilus grahami, 247 nucleotides long. RefSeq lists it as uncharacterized. The record is from RefSeq and is a predicted model, not a curated record. The transcript is spliced from 3 exons. NCBI's taxonomy places the organism in Eukaryota, Metazoa, Chordata, Actinopteri, Cypriniformes, Cyprinidae.
GAGUUCUGUGCCACAAAUGGGUAACAUGGAACUUUGUCUUAGUGUAGCAAAUGCUUGUGAUGGUGAUGUACAGACCCUUGAAAAGAUUGACCCCAACAACACAAGUACACAUCCCACGGUGGUCUCAAACACAAUCCUGGCACACCAAGAACAAUGUAAUGCAUUGCAACCCUCAUCCAAUCCAUUACCUUCAUCAUUGCCACAGACAGAUCAUGUGGAAGAGACCAGUUAGAAGAAAAUUGCAUAA